CCUACGGGAGGCAGCAGUGAGGAAUAUUGGUCAAUGGACGAGAGUCUGAACCAGCCAAGUCGCGUGAAGGAUGACUGCCCUAUGGGUUGUAAACUUCUUUUAUAAAGGAAUAAAACGAGGCACGUGUGCCUGUUUGCAUGUACUUUAUGAAUAAGGAUCGGCUAACUCCGUGCCAGCCGCCGCGGUAAUACGGAGGAUCCGAGCGUUAUCCGGAUUUAUUGGGUUUAAGGGGCACGUAGACUGGUUGUUAAGUCAGUUGUGAAAGUUUGCGGCUCAACCGUAAAAUUGCAAUUGAUACUGGCAGUCUUGAGUACAGUUGAGGUAGGCGGAAUUCGUGGUGUAGCGGUGAAAUGCUUAGAUAUCACGAAGAACCCCGAUUGCGAAGGCAGCUUACUAAACUGUGACUGACAUUGAUGCUCGAAAGUGUGGGUAUCAAACAGGAUUAGAUACCCUAGUAGUC
This 460-nucleotide ribosomal RNA is filed under the name uncultured bacterium. RNAcentral describes it as "partial 16S ribosomal RNA". It matches the Rfam family "Bacterial small subunit ribosomal RNA", at positions 338 to 795 of the family's 1533-position model. The record is from RNAcentral.